This 253-nucleotide ribosomal RNA is filed under the name uncultured bacterium. RNAcentral describes it as "partial 16S ribosomal RNA". It matches the Rfam family "Bacterial small subunit ribosomal RNA", at positions 524 to 776 of the family's 1533-position model. The record is from RNAcentral.
GACAGAGGGUGCAAACGUUGCUCGGAAUCACUGGGCGUAAAGGGCGUGUAGGCGGGUAUGUAAGUCGGGCGUGAAAUCCCUAGGCUCAACCUAGGAACUGCACUCGAAACUGCGUUUCUUGAGUAUCGGAGAGGAAAGCGGAAUACCUGGUGUAGAGGUGAAAUUCGUAGAUAUCAGGUGGAACACCAGUGGCGAAGGCGGCUUUCUGGACGAUUACUGACGCUGAGGUGCGAAAGCGUGGGGAGCAAACAGG